This 468-nucleotide ribosomal RNA is filed under the name uncultured bacterium. RNAcentral describes it as "partial 16S ribosomal RNA". It matches the Rfam family "Bacterial small subunit ribosomal RNA", at positions 28 to 507 of the family's 1533-position model. The record is from RNAcentral.
AACGAACGCUGGCGGCGUGCUUAACACAUGCAAGUCGAACGGAACGGCCCUGCUUUUGUGCGGUGCUCGGGUGGCGACCGGGUGAGUAACACGUGAGUAACCUGCCCUUGCCUUUGGGAUAACUUCAGAAAACUGAGGCUAAUACCGGCUAGGAGCUCCUGCUGCAUGGUGGGGGUGGGUAAGUUUCGGCGGUUGGGGAUGGACUGGCGGCUUAUCAGCUUGUUGGUGGGGUAGUGGCUGACCAAGGCUUGGACGGGUAGCAGGGCUGAGAGGGUGACAGGACCAGUUGGGAUGGGGAUACGGCCCAGACUCGUACGGGAGGGAGCAGUGGGGAAGAGUGUACAAGGGGCGGAAGGCUGAUGCAGCAAAGCAGCGUGGGGGAUGUCGGCAAUGGGGUAGUAAUGCGAUGUUGUCUGUGACGAAGCGAUAGUGACGGUAAUGGGUAAAGAAGCACCGGCUAACUACGUG